AGGCACAGAGCAGAAGAGAAGUACCGAUCCCUUCUGGAACACGAGCAAAGUCGGUGCUAUUGAUGAAGCCUGACUCCUCUAGGAGGCCAACCCUAGGCCCCCUGGAAACCUGAUGCAGACCACCAGGGGAGCAGGGACCACCCCUGGAGGACCCCUAAGCUGGGCUGGAGCCUCAGAGGACUGAUGUCCCACAUGCUCACCUGCUAAGGGGACUCACCUGCGUGGCCCUGAGCUUCAGCUACGUGGCUCUAAGUUAGCGUCUACAACGAGGGAGAGCCUCCAGUCUGGAUCUCUGCACACCAUCAGCAGGGGCCAUGCUCUGGGUGUUCUGUGACACCCGUCACUUACAUCACCGAGAUUCCUCUCCUGGUCAUUCAGCUUGUGUCCCGGAGCAAGUAUUGAAAGCCAAGAUACAUGCAAAAGAUGCGUGUUUGUGUGCAAGGAGCCGCAGCGGCUGAACAAGCAACUAUAUUAUGCCGAGAUGAAAGUAUAAAUAAAGCUUGACUGAGGUUUAAAAAA
RNAcentral lists this small RNA (519 nucleotides) under Rattus norvegicus (Norway rat). Its description in RNAcentral is "uncharacterized LOC102551263". Lineage: Eukaryota; Metazoa; Chordata; Mammalia; Rodentia; Muridae. The record is from RNAcentral.